GCCGGGCGCGCUGGCGCGCCCCUGUAGUCCCAGCUACUCGGGAGGCUGAGGUGGGAGGAUUGCUCGAGCCCAGGAGUUCUGGGCCGCAGUGCGCUAUGCCUACCGGGUGUCCGCACUAAGUUCGGCAUCAAUAUGGUGACCUCCCGGGAGUGGGGGACCACCAGGUUGCCUAAGGAGGCGUGAACCGGCCCAGGUCGGAAACGGAGCAGGUCAGAACUCCCGUGCUCAUCAGUAGUGGGAUGGCACCUGUGAAUAGCCACUGCACUCUAGCCUGGGCAACAUAGCCAGACUACGUCUCUU
This 300-nucleotide signal recognition particle RNA is filed under the name Saimiri boliviensis boliviensis (Bolivian squirrel monkey). RNAcentral's name for it is "Metazoan signal recognition particle RNA (ENSSBOG00000000276.1)". It matches the Rfam family "Metazoan signal recognition particle RNA". From Rfam's summary of the family: The signal recognition particle (SRP) is a universally conserved ribonucleoprotein. It is involved in the co-translational targeting of proteins to membranes. The eukaryotic SRP consists of a 300-nucleotide 7S RNA and six proteins: SRPs 72, 68, 54, 19, 14, and 9. Lineage: Eukaryota; Metazoa; Chordata; Mammalia; Primates; Cebidae. The record is from Rfam by way of RNAcentral.